GUUGGGUCUUCAGAGGACAGUCAUGUUAGGUCCCUUUUUGAGAGCACUCCAUAGCCUCAGUAAUAGUGAGUACAUACCAUGCACAUCAUUUUGGGUCUGAGUUACUUCACUCGAGAUGUUAUUUUCUAGUUCCAUUACUUGCCUGCAAAACUCAUGAUGUCAUCGUUCUUAGUAGCUGAAUAGUAUUCCAUUGUGAAAAUGAACCACAUUUUUUGCAUCCAUUCUUUUGUUGUAGGACAUCUACAUUGUUUCUAGCUUUUGGCUAUCACAAACUAGGCCCCUAUGAACAUAGUGGAGCACUUACCCUUGUGGCAUAGUGGGGCAUCUUUUGGAUAUAUUCCCAAGAGAGGUAUUUCUGGGUCUUCAGGUAGAUCUAUUUCCAAUUUUCUGAGGAAACUCCAGAUUGAUUUCCAGAGUGGUUGUGCCAGUUUGCAACCCCACCAGCAAUGGAGGAGUGUUCCUCUUUCUCCCCAUUAUCACCAACAAGUGUUGUCACCUGAGAUCUUGAUCUUAGCCAUUCUGAUUGGUAUAAAGUGGAAUCUCAGAGUUCUUUUGAUUUGCAUUUCUGUGAUCACUAAGGACUUUGAACAUUUCUUUAGGUGUUUCUCAGUCAUUCUCCACUGGCUCACACUCUAAAAUCAAGAAUUGAUAAAUGGGUCAUAAAACUUGUCAGGAAGAAAGCUUCUAUAAGGCAAAGGACCUAGUCAAUGAGACAAACAGACAAUCUACAGAUUGGGAAAAAAUCUUCACUAACCUCACAUCUGAAAGAGGGCUAAUAUCC
Molecule: long non-coding RNA, 781 nt
Filed under: Mus musculus (house mouse)
Lineage: Eukaryota; Metazoa; Chordata; Mammalia; Rodentia; Muridae
Description: long non-coding RNA chr6:80533638-80534419
Source: RNAcentral